Vicugna pacos (alpaca) is the source of this 150-nucleotide non-coding RNA. NCBI's taxonomy places the organism in Eukaryota, Metazoa, Chordata, Mammalia, Artiodactyla, Camelidae. The record is from RefSeq and is a predicted model, not a curated record.
GUUUGGUGGAAUUCUCCAUUGAAGCUAUCUGGUCCUGGACUUUUGUUUGCAGGGAGGGUUUUUUAUUGCUAGUUCUGUAUCACUUCUAGUGAUUGCUCUGUUCAGAUUAUCUAUUUCUUCUUGAUUCAGCUUUGGUGGACUGUAUGUUUC